This 253-nucleotide ribosomal RNA is filed under the name uncultured prokaryote. Its description in RNAcentral is "partial 16S ribosomal RNA". It matches the Rfam family "Bacterial small subunit ribosomal RNA", at positions 524 to 776 of the family's 1533-position model. The record is from RNAcentral.
UACGUAGGGUGCAAGCGUUGUCCGGAAUUAUUGGGCGUAAAGAGCUCGUAGGCGGUUUGUCGCGUCUGCUGUGAAAACUCGGGGCUCAACUCCGAGCUUGCAGUGGGUACGGGCAGACUAGAGUGCGGAAGGGGCAACUGGAAUUCUCGGUGUAGCGGUGAAAUGCGUAGAUAUCGAGAGGAACACCUGCGGCGAAGGCGGGUUGCUGGGCCGACACUGACGCUGAUGCGCGAAAGCCAGGGGAGCAAACAGG